GACGAACGCUGGCGGCGUGCCUAAUACAUGCAAGUUGAGCGCGGAAGGCUGGUACUUGUACCAACUGGAUGAGCAGCGAACGGGGGAGUAACGCGUGGGGAAUCUGCCUUUGAGCGGGGGACAACAUUUGGAAACGAAUGCUAAUACAGCAUAAAAACUUUAAACAAAAGUUUUAAGUUUGAAAGAUGCAAUUGAAUCACUCAAAGAUGAUCCCGCGUUGUAUUAGCUAGUUGGUGAGGUAAAGGCUCACCAAGGCGAUGAUACAUAGCCGACCUGAGAGGAUGAUCGGCCACAUUGGGACUGAGACACGGCCCAAACUCCUACGGGAGGCAGCAGUAGGGAAUCUUCGGCAAUGGACGAAAGUCUGACCGAGCAACGCCGCGUGGAUGGAGAAGGUUUUCGGAUCGUAAAACUCUGUUGGUAGAGAAGAACGUUUGUGAGAGUGGAAAGCUCAUCAUGUGACGUUAACUACCCAGAAAGGGACGGCUAACUACGUG
This 497-nucleotide ribosomal RNA is filed under the name uncultured bacterium. RNAcentral describes it as "partial 16S ribosomal RNA". It matches the Rfam family "Bacterial small subunit ribosomal RNA", at positions 28 to 507 of the family's 1533-position model. The record is from RNAcentral.